Molecule: unclassified non-coding RNA, 336 nt
Filed under: soil metagenome
Description: partial contains 5.8S ribosomal RNA, internal transcribed spacer 2, and large subunit ribosomal RNA
Rfam family: 5.8S ribosomal RNA (bases 1-120)
Source: RNAcentral
GAUGAAGAACGCAGCGAAAUGCGAUAAGUAGCGUGAAUUGCAGAAUUCAGUGAAUCAUCGAAUCUUUGAACGCACAUUGCGCCCCUUGGUAUUCCAUGGGGCAUGCCUGUUCGAGCGUCAUUUGUACCUUCAAGCUUUGCUUGGUGUUGGGUGUUUGUCUCGCCUUUGCGUGUAGACUCGCCUUAAAAUAAUUGGCAGCCGGCGUAUUGAUUUCGGAGCGCAGUACAUCUCGCGCUUUGCACUCAUAACGACAGCGUCCAAAAGUACAUUUUACACUCUUGACCUCGGAUCAGGUAGGGAUACCCGCUGAACUUAAGCAUAUCAAUAAGCGGAGGA